This is a non-coding RNA of Anas platyrhynchos (mallard), 1358 nucleotides long. The record is from RefSeq and is a predicted model, not a curated record. NCBI's taxonomy places the organism in Eukaryota, Metazoa, Chordata, Aves, Anseriformes, Anatidae.
GGACAUGUGAGGUGCUGGGGUUCACGUGCAGGGCUGCCUGAGGGCAGGUGGCUGCCGGAGACACUUGGGGGUCAUGGAGUGACCCCAGCCCUAUGGUACCCGCAGGACUACACCACAAUUCUCGCCUCUAUGCCUCAGUACCCCCCAUCCCGCUCGUUCCUCCCCAGUGACACCCAACACGGCAGAGCGGAGCAGAGCCCAGCGCCCUGCUGCAUGGACAGGACACAUUGCCCCUGUGAGUGACGGGAGGGUGUGAGUGGGGAGACCCACCCAUACUGGGAGGCUCUGGAAGCUACCCCACACCCCUCAGCACCACAAGGGCCCUGGCCAUGCUGCCCCUUGACCCCACAUGUUAGGACAGGGACCUGGUAUGGUUCCAAGCAACCCCAGGGCAGGGGAUCCCGGCUCUAGGCUCAGGUAACCCUUGGUCCCCACAGCUCCCAUCACCCUCCAGGCACAACUGGGGCUGGUAGUCCCUGCUUGGAUGUCCCCUGCUCUGCUGCUGGCACAGGGACAGCCCAUCCAGGGCUGCUGUGGGCUGAGCCCUGGCACCCUGUGACACUGAGUCAGGCCAGGGAAGUGGGAUGCUGUGGUGGCCCUGUGGGCUCAGACGUGGUCCCAAAGCUCCCGCUUCCUCCAGGGCUCACUCGCUGCAAUGUUCCCCAGGGGAUGGCCGUUCCUGCAGUGUCCCUGUCCCUCCUGACAGGGCCACCAAUGCCUGUCAGGGAGGAGAGAGAGCAGCUGCUGGGAUGCCAAAGGGCGGCCGUGGUGCAGCUGGUGAGGGAGGGAGCGGGGGGACGGUGGUCUCUGCAGUCCCCUCAUGUAAUGGCUGGUCUUCAAAGCUGCCCUUCAAGCAGCCACCGGUCCACUCAGUCUCCUCAGGGCCUCAAAGCCUCAGCUCAGGUCCCUGCUGGUUCUUGAAGUCCCCUCAGGUGACCGGCAGUCCCCACAGGACCUCCUCAGUGACCGUUCCUCUUCGCAUUGCCCUCCACUCCCCACUGCUCCCCGCAGUCCCCUCAGGACCCGCUGGAUCCUGUGGUCCCCACAGGGGCCACAGUCCCCCCUCUUCCUCCAGGCACCCCUUCCCACCAGGUCUCUCAGUGGUGAGGGCCCUGCGUGCCCCAUGCUUCAGCCUCCCAGCCCCACAGGGAGCCCAGCCCAGGGCCCAGCCUCCCCCCCCCCGCUGCAGAAUCCAUGGCCCCGCAAUGCCUGUCAGAGCUCGACUCCCUUUUUCUACUGCUUCUCUUAACUAGCCUGAAGCCCUGAAGUUAGUGCUGAUAAUUUCAGCAGUGCUGGGCUCAAGCUGACCAAACCCUCCCCGAGCCCACAGAAACCUUUAUAAAAGGCACGUGAUCUUA